AUGUUAUCUAUAAUUUUUUUGUGUGUAUAUCUGGACUCUAACAGACCUCAUUGUUCUUUUUUCAUUAAUUUAAUUUUUUUUUUUUUUGAGACGGAGUUUCGCUCUUGUUACCCAGGCUGGAGUGCAAUGGCACGAUCUCGGCUCACCACAACCUCAGCCUCCUGGGUUCAGGCAAUUCUCCUGCCUCAGCCUCCCGAGUAGCUGGGAUUACAGGCACACGCCACCAUGCCCAGCUAAUUUUUCGUAUUUUAAUAGAGAUGGGGUUUCACCAUGUUGACCAGGAUGGUUUCGAUCUCUCGACCUCGUGAUCCACCCGCCUCGGCCUCCCAAAGUGCUGGGAUUACAGGCUUGAGCCACCGUGCCCGGCCAUGAUGAGUUCUUAAAGAAGGCAUAAGUUGUCUGGUAGUUUGUCUUUCGUGCUCUUCAUUUGGGUUUCCUCAGGGUAAUUUUUAAUUUUGAUCAGCUCCAAUUUAUUGGCUCAUGUAUAUAUCAUGCUUUUAUGUCACAUCUAAGAAUUCUCCUAGCCCAAGAUCCUGGAUAUGUUUAUCUUACUUUUAUUUUUUAGGUUUUAUAGUUUUACAUUUUCUUGGAAGUUUGUGAUCCAUUUUGAAUUAAUUUUUAGGUAAAGUAUGAGGUUAACGUCAACAUCCAUGCUUGCCUACAGAUACUGAAUUGCUCUAGCACCGUUUGUUGAAAAGGCUAUUUUUUUUUAUUGAAUUGCUUUUUCAUUUUGUCAAAAUUCAGUUGAGAAUUUUUGUGUAGGUCCAUUUCUGGGUCCUGCAUUCUGUUCUGUUGAUAAAUGUUUCUGUUCUUCUAUUUUGAUACAGUGUGAUAUUGGAUAUAUCACACACACAAGAAGGCUAAUAGAUAUCUUUCCAAUAUCACACUACAUAGCCCUUAUGUUGUCUUAACCCUGGCAGAGAAGGAUAGUGCCUCCACCUCAUUGGUUUUUCUGGCAGAAGUCCCAAUCAAUUCUCCUUGUUUGCAGUGUCAGGUUCCCCUGGUAUGGUCAGAGGGACUCCCAUUAGACCCAAGGACAGGUAAAUGGGUUGCCUGAGCUGUCUUCAUUUAUUAUUUCGAGUGUCCAGAAAUGCCAUAUCUGAGUGAGCUUCCUCUGGGAGGUGGGAGUGUUCAGGGUGCUCUGGUGCUGUGUCACUUCUUUAGCUCUGGGGUCUCAGGCCAGCUCACUUUCCUCUAGCAUCUUUUAGAGUAAUCCUUUGGAUGUUUCUUCUGCUUUAUAGCUGUGCUUAACAGGGAAGAACAGGGAAAAACGGGCACACUAUUUCGUUCUGACUGAAAGUUACGACACUAUGUAUUUUAAGAAGUUAAUCUAUAUUGCGAUGCAGGCAAAG
Molecule: long non-coding RNA, 1352 nt
Filed under: Callithrix jacchus (white-tufted-ear marmoset)
Lineage: Eukaryota; Metazoa; Chordata; Mammalia; Primates; Cebidae
Description: lncRNA (ENSCJAG00000080177.1)
Source: RNAcentral